AUGGAGCAAACCGAGCCUCGGUGGCCUUUUCCCGUUCAAGCUGCGUGUGGAUGUCCCCACGCACCCUCGGACUCUGCCAAGGCUUGUUUGUUUCAGCUGUCGAUGGCUUGUUUCUUCUCAGCUUCAGUGCCCUCUCUUCAGAUCACGGUGGGUACCCUUGCUGCCUCGCGGGCUUCUGUCUCUGUUGGUGAACCCCAACCAAGCUUUGUGACAAGCAUCUCUCCCGACUCCCAGGUCACCCCCCACCCCUGUUCCCUGGGCCUGGCUCAUGCCCCGGGCACAACCAUGCUUCUCCCCGCACCUCGGGACAAGCCUGCCAGCCCACCAGCUCUUGGCGUGGCUGCAGUGGCUCUUGCCCAGGAUAAAGGGCACCCCUCUCCCCGGCUCCCCCCAUUCCUCACCGUGCAGCCCACACCCUGUAACAACAGCCCUUGUGUGUCAUAACUAGGUCAUGACCCUGCUCAGGCCACUUGUCGCCUCCCCGUUUCUUUCAUAUCCCUAGUGCUCUGUAUGUAAGACAGUUCGAUAUAUGCCUCCCCCCAAUAGCAAGGAUACAAGAGGCCUGUCAUUCUCCAAUGGUUCAGUUUGUAAAUGUCAGUUAAGAAAGAUGAGGAGUUCCCCUGUGGCUUAGGGGGUUAAGAACCUGACUAGUAUUCAUGAGGAUGUGGGUUCAAUUCCUGGCCUCGCUCAGUGGGUUAAGGAUCCAGUGUUGCUGUGAGCUGUGGCGUAGGCCACAGAUGCAGCUCGGAUCAGGCACUGCUGUGGCUGUGGUGUAGGCUGGCGGCUACAGCCCCGAUUCAACCCCUAGCCUGGGAACUUCCAUAUGCCAAGAGCAUGGCCUGAAAAAAGGAAAAAAAAAAAAAAAAAGAUGAGAUGAGAAAAGAUGCAAGGUCAGGAGUCCUACGGUAUCCUGCAGACUCUGACUUUCCCUCUGCCCUCGAGGAUCUACUAAAUAUUCACCUCCACAGUUGUUUUCCGAGCUCAAGGGAUUCCCUCUUAAUCAAUAAACAUUUCACAACCACACAAACACCAUUAGCUGAAAAUAUUAUUUUGGCUUAGUACGUGUCCUUGUUACAUCGUGGUUUAUAUCUGGAAAGGCCUCCGUAUGAUCAUUAUACAUGGAAGCAGUGAUGUCUCGCUAAUGCAGCAUCACAGGGACGGCUCCUGUACGGGGGGGCUCCAGGCCAUAGCAGUGACCUUCCUGGAUAGAUGAAAAUGACCUCCCUAAAGACCAGCCCUUUGAAAAGUUUCACCAUUUUUCCUGGAACUCUUAGUUUUCAAAACCAUAACAAAAACUU
RNAcentral lists this long non-coding RNA (1298 nucleotides) under Sus scrofa (pig). Its description in RNAcentral is "lncRNA (ENSSSCG00005026905.1)". The record is from RNAcentral. Lineage: Eukaryota; Metazoa; Chordata; Mammalia; Artiodactyla; Suidae.